AUCGCUUCUUGGCCUUUUGGCUAAGAUCAAGUGUAGUAUCAAGGGUUAUUAAUGGCAAUGUGUCUUUUGUGGGGGGUUAGAUUGUCUUUUUUUUAAGCAAAACAUUUAUUAAUACAUUUCAUUUAUACAUAAUAACACUCAU
This 142-nucleotide small nuclear RNA is filed under the name Fukomys damarensis (Damara mole-rat). Its description in RNAcentral is "U2 spliceosomal RNA". It matches the Rfam family "U2 spliceosomal RNA". From Rfam's summary of the family: U2 is a small nuclear RNA (snRNA) component of the spliceosome (involved in pre-mRNA splicing). Complementary binding between U2 snRNA (in an area lying towards the 5' end but 3' to hairpin I) and the branchpoint sequence (BPS) of the intron results the bulging out of an unpaired adenosine, on the BPS, which initiates a nucleophilic attack at the intronic 5' splice site, thus starting the first of two transesterification reactions that mediate splicing. Lineage: Eukaryota; Metazoa; Chordata; Mammalia; Rodentia; Bathyergidae. The record is from Rfam by way of RNAcentral.